This 241-nucleotide ribosomal RNA is filed under the name uncultured bacterium. RNAcentral describes it as "partial 16S ribosomal RNA". It matches the Rfam family "Bacterial small subunit ribosomal RNA", at positions 536 to 776 of the family's 1533-position model. The record is from RNAcentral.
AAGCGUUAAUCGGAAUUACUGGGCGUAAAGCGUGCGCAGGCGGCUUUGCAAGGCAGAUGUGAAAUCCCCGGGCUCAACCUGGGAACUGCAUUUGUGACUGCAUGGCUAGAGUGUGGCAGAGGGGGAUGGAAUUCCGCGUGUAGCAGUGAAAUGCGUAGAUAUGCGGAGGAACACCGAUGGCGAAGGCAAUCCCCUGGGCCUGCACUGACGCUCAUGCACGAAAGCGUGGGGAGCAAACAGG